AGGAGGGUUUGGGAUCCAUGGCUCAGAACUAACGCUGGUGGCGUGUCUUAGUCAUGCUAGUCGCACGAGAACGUACCCUUCGGGGUGCUAGUACAGUGGCGGACGGGUGAGUAACACGUGGGCAACCUGCCUUCGAGCGGGGGAUAACCCUUCUAACGAGGGGCUAAUACCGCAUAACACUUUCGUGUCGCAUGUUACGAUUGUCAAAGGUGGCCUCUACUUGUAAGCUGCCGCUUGAAGAUGGGCCCGCGCUACAUUAGCUUGUUGGUGAGGUAACGGCUCACCAAGGCUACGAUGGAUAGCCGGCCUGAGAGGGUGAUCGGCCACACUGGAACUGAGAUAAGGUCCAGUCCCCUACGGGGGCCAGCAGUCUAGAAAUUUGCGCAAUGGACGAAAGUCUGACGCAGCGACGCCACGUGGAGGAUGAAGCCUUUCGGGGUGUAAACUCCUGUCAGAAGGGAAGAACGCAGCGGGUUCAACAGACCCGCUGUUUGACGGUACCUUCAGAGGAAGCUCCGGCUAACUUCGUGCCAGCAGCCGCGGUAAUACGAAGGGAGCGAGCGUUGUUCGGAUUUACUGGGCGUAAAGGGCGCGCAGGCGGGGCCGUAAGUCGAACGUGAAAACUGUUGGCUCAACCAGCAGAUUGCCUUCGAAACUACGGUUCUUGAGUCCAGGAGAGGAGAGCGGAAUCGACAGUGUAAGCGGUGAAAUGUGUAGAUAUUGUC
Molecule: ribosomal RNA, 725 nt
Filed under: uncultured bacterium
Lineage: Bacteria
Description: bacterial SSU rRNA
Rfam family: Bacterial small subunit ribosomal RNA
Source: RNAcentral